RNAcentral lists this ribosomal RNA (26 nucleotides) under Linnemannia gamsii. RNAcentral's name for it is "Mortierella gamsii partial 28S ribosomal RNA". RNAcentral also lists the same sequence under 1 other name. Lineage: Eukaryota; Fungi; Mortierellomycota; Mortierellomycetes; Mortierellales; Mortierellaceae. The record is from RNAcentral.
UCGAUCUCAAAUCAAGUAAGACUACC